GGGCCAGGAGUGUCGAAAGAUAGCACGGCUGCCUUGCAAGCAGCAGGACCGGGAGCAUUACCCGGCUGGUCCACCA
Molecule: transfer RNA, 76 nt
Filed under: Verrucomicrobiales bacterium
Lineage: Bacteria; Pseudomonadati; Verrucomicrobiota; Verrucomicrobiia; Verrucomicrobiales
Description: tRNA-Ala
Source: RNAcentral